CCCUUAGAUGUUCUGGGCCGCACGCGCGCUACACUGAUGCAUUCAACGAGCCUAUCCUUGACCGACAGGUCCGGGUAAUCUUUGAAUCUGUAUCGUGACGGGGAUAGAUUAUUGCAAUUAUUAAUCUUCAACGAGGAAUGCCUAGUAGGCGCAAGUCAUCAGCUUGCGUCGAUUACGUCCCUGCCCUUUGUACACACCGCCCGUCGCUCCUACCGAUUGGGUGUGCUGGUGAAAUGUUCGGAUCGGCCGUUUGUCGCGGUUUCCGCGUCAUGUGGCUGAGAAGUUCAUUAAACCCUCCCACCUAGAGGAAGGAGAAGUCGUAACA
This 325-nucleotide ribosomal RNA is filed under the name uncultured eukaryote. Its description in RNAcentral is "partial 18S ribosomal RNA". It matches the Rfam family "Eukaryotic small subunit ribosomal RNA", at positions 1470 to 1796 of the family's 1831-position model. The record is from RNAcentral.